RNAcentral lists this ribosomal RNA (446 nucleotides) under Streptomyces sp. EXM-17-2. Its description in RNAcentral is "bacterial SSU rRNA". It matches the Rfam family "Bacterial small subunit ribosomal RNA", at positions 67 to 528 of the family's 1533-position model. The record is from RNAcentral. Lineage: Bacteria; Bacillati; Actinomycetota; Actinomycetes; Kitasatosporales; Streptomycetaceae.
CGAUGAACCACUUCGGUGGGGAUUAGUGGCGAACGGGUGAGUAACACGUGGGCAAUCUGCCCUGCACUCCGGGACAAGCCCUGGAAACGGGGUCUAAUACCGGAUACGACGCGCUCGGGCAUCCGAUGCGCGUGGAAAGCUCCGGCGGUGCAGGAUGGGCCCGCGGCCUAUCAGCUGGUUGGUGAGGUAACGGCUCACCAAGGCGACGACGGGUAGCCGGCCUGAGAGGGCGACCGGCCACACUGGGACUGAGACACGGCCCAGACUCCUACGGGAGGCAGCAGUGGGGAAUAUUGCACAAUGGGCGCAAGCCUGAUGCAGCGACGCCGCGUGAGGGAUGACGGCCUUCGGGUUGUAAACCUCUUUCAGCAGGGAAGAAGCGCAAGUGACGGUACCUGCAGAAGAAGCGCCGGCUAACUACGUGCCAGCAGCCGGGGGUAAUUCCA